AUGUACCUACGGGACGCAGCAGUCGGGAAUAUUGCGCAAUGGAGGAAACUCUGACGCAGUGACGCCGCGUGCAGGAAGAAGGCUUUCGGAUUGUAAACUGCUUUAGACAGGGAAGAUAAUGACCGUACCUGUAGAAUAAGCUCCGGCUAACUACGUGCCAGCAGCCGCGGUAAUACGUAGGGAGCAAGCGUUAUCCGGGUUUAGUGGGUGUAAAGGGUGCGUAGACGGGAAUGCAAGUUAGUUGUGAAAUCCCUCGGCUUAACUGAGGAACUGCAACUAAAACUACAUUUCUUGAGUGCUGGAGG
Molecule: ribosomal RNA, 305 nt
Filed under: uncultured bacterium
Lineage: Bacteria
Description: bacterial SSU rRNA
Rfam family: Bacterial small subunit ribosomal RNA
Source: RNAcentral